RNAcentral lists this non-coding RNA (46 nucleotides) under Schistosoma haematobium. Lineage: Eukaryota; Metazoa; Platyhelminthes; Trematoda; Strigeidida; Schistosomatidae. RNAcentral also lists the same sequence under 1 other name. The record is from RNAcentral.
GCACUACUGAAGAGUCCCACAAUAGGACGAAACGGUCGUCCAGUGC